Molecule: ribosomal RNA, 253 nt
Filed under: uncultured bacterium
Lineage: Bacteria
Description: partial 16S ribosomal RNA
Rfam family: Bacterial small subunit ribosomal RNA
Source: RNAcentral
UACGUAGGGCGCAAGCGUUAUCCGGAAUUAUUGGGCGUAAAGAGCUCGUAGGCGGUUUGUCGCGUCUGCCGUGAAAGUCCGGGGCUCAACUCCGGAUCUGCGGUGGGUACGGGCAGACUAGAGUGAUGUAGGGGAGACUGGAAUUCCUGGUGUAGCGGUGAAAUGCGCAGAUAUCAGGAGGAACACCGAUGGCGAAGGCAGGUCUCUGGGCAUUAACUGACGCUGAGGAGCGAAGGCGUGGGGAGCAAACAGG